AUGAAGCUCUCAGAUGCAGAGAAGAAAGAAAUCAAGAUUGGACGAAGGAACACAAACCUAGCAGGGUCAGAGAAGCCACAAGCUAUUGGUAAAUUGAUGUCUGACAGACCUGCGCCGAAGGAGGCCCUAGAGAGCACCUUGGGAAGGAUUUGGUCUCCGUUCAAAGGAGUGGAGUGCAAGAACCUAGGUAUGAAUCGAUUUUUGUUCUCAUUCCGAGAUGAAGCAGGGAAACUUAAGGCGUUGAAUGACAGACCUUGGACUUUCAAUAAGAGGUUUCUGGUUGUUGAAGAUUUUGAUCCAGCAAAAACGCUCAAUGAGUACGAGUUCAAGAAAAUUCCUAUUUGGGUAAGACUUCAUGGUAUUCCUAUGGGAUCGAUGUAUAGGGAGUCAGGUGAAGCCAUAGGGAAGGAAAUUGGGGAGGUGCUAGAUGUUGAUGUAGAUGAAUGUGGCAUGGCAGCAGGAGAGUUUAUGCGGGUGAAAGUCCGGCUAGAUAUCACAAAACCUUUGAUGAGGGGUAUUACUAUCUUCCUGGAAGAUGAUGAGGAGGAAAGGCAAGACAAAGAGAUGACAGGCGAAGAAAAGAACAAUGAACAGAAGGGGAAAGAGAUUUUAUUUACAUAUGAACACUUGCCGGACUUCUGCUAUAUUUGCGGCGUCAUCGGCCACAAUGAUAGAGGCUGUCCAAAUAAACAGAACCUGGGAGUUGGGCAUGAAUUUGGAUCGUGGCUCAAGGCAGAAGACUGGGGAAGGAGGCCAAGUGAGGAGGAUAGGAGCAGGAACUCUCGAGAUAAAUGGGGUUUUGGAAAGAAUAGUACUGGAGGCAACAGGGGUAGCGAUGCAAUUACGUGGAGGAAGAAUUCAUUUGAUGGUGAAGGAGUGGGGGUCUCAGGUAAGAGGGAGGAAAAGGAAGCAACCAGCCCACUAAAUAAACAAGCAAAUGAGGAAGAGGUAGAAUCUGGAGGAAAGAAAUUUCUUUUGGAAGGGAUUCCGAGUGAAAGGAUUGUAUAG
This 1008-nucleotide ribosomal RNA is filed under the name Triticum aestivum (bread wheat). RNAcentral describes it as "partial small subunit ribosomal RNA". Lineage: Eukaryota; Viridiplantae; Streptophyta; Magnoliopsida; Poales; Poaceae. The record is from RNAcentral.